AUUGAACGCUGGCGGCAUGCCUUACACAUGCAAGUCGAACGGCAGCACGGGUGCUUGCACCUGGUGGCGAGUGGCGAACGGGUGAGUAAUAUAUCGGAACGUACCUUAUUGUGGGGGAUAACGCAGCGAAAGCUGUGCUAAUACCGCAUAAUCCCUAAGGGGGAAAGCGGGGGACCGUAAGGCCUCGCGCAAUUAGAGCGGCCGAUACCUGAUUAGCUAGUUGGUGAGGUAAAGGCUCACCAAGGCAACGAUCAGUAGCUGGUCUGAGAGGACGAUCAGCCACACUGGGACUGAGACACGGCCCAGACUCCUACGGGAGGCAGCAGUGGGGAAUUUUGGACAAUGGGGGCAACCCUGAUCCAGCGAUGCCGCGUGAGUGAAGAAGGCCUUCGGGUUGUAAAGCUCUUUUGUCAGGGAAGAAACAGCAGCUCUAACACAGUUUGCGAAUGACGGUACCCGAAGAAUAAGCACCGGCUAACUACGUGCCAGCAGCCGCGGUAA
RNAcentral lists this ribosomal RNA (501 nucleotides) under uncultured bacterium. RNAcentral describes it as "partial 16S ribosomal RNA". It matches the Rfam family "Bacterial small subunit ribosomal RNA", at positions 30 to 523 of the family's 1533-position model. The record is from RNAcentral.